AGGGGCAGCAUGACUGUAGCAAUACAGUUGAUGGCGACCGGCAAACGGGUGCGGAACACGUACAGAACCUCCCUUCGAGCGGGGAAUAGCCCGGAGAAAUCCGGAUUAAUACCCCAUAGUAUGGUGAAGAGGCAUCUCUUUACUAUUAAAGAUUUAUCACUUGAAGAUGGCUGUGCGGCUGAUUAGGUAGUUGGCGGGGUAACGGCCCACCAAGCCUGCGAUCAGUAACUGGUGUGAGAGCACGACCAGUCACACGGGCACUGAGACACGGGCCCGACUCCUACGGGAGGCAGCAGUAAGGAAUAUUGGUCAAUGGACGAAAGUCUGAACCAGCCAUGCCGCGUGGAGGAUGAAGGCCCUCUGGAUUGUAAACUUCUUUUAUAUGGGACGAAAAAAGGCUUUUCCAGGUCGUCUGACGGUACCAUAUGAAUAAGCACCGGCUAACUCCGUGCCAGCAGCCGCGGUAAUACGGAGGGUGCAAGCGUUAUCCGGAUUCACUGGGUUUAAAGGGUGCGUAGGUGGGUUGAUAAGUCAGUGGUGAAAUCCCCGAGCUUAACUUGGGAACUGCCAUUGAUACUAUUGAUCUUGAAUACCGUGGAGGUCAGCGGAAUAUGUCAUGUAGCGGUGAAAUGCUUAGAUAUGACAUAGAACACCAAUUGCGAAGGCAGCUGGCUACGCGAAUAUUGACACUGAUGCACGAAAGCGUGGGGAUCAAACAGGAUUAGAUACCCUGGUAGUCCACGCCCUAAACUAUGGAUACUCGACAUCAGCGAUACACUGUUGGUGUCUGAGCG
RNAcentral lists this ribosomal RNA (794 nucleotides) under uncultured Sphingobacteriia bacterium. Its description in RNAcentral is "bacterial SSU rRNA". It matches the Rfam family "Bacterial small subunit ribosomal RNA", at positions 65 to 853 of the family's 1533-position model. The record is from RNAcentral. Lineage: Bacteria; Pseudomonadati; Bacteroidota; Sphingobacteriia.